Neofelis nebulosa (Clouded leopard) is the source of this 908-nucleotide long non-coding RNA. RefSeq lists it as uncharacterized. The transcript has 2 exons. The record is from RefSeq and is a predicted model, not a curated record. NCBI's taxonomy places the organism in Eukaryota, Metazoa, Chordata, Mammalia, Carnivora, Felidae.
CUGACUCAGCCUCUCAGAGCAAGUCACUGAUGUUCCAGCACACCUGAGCCAGCAUGAGCUCUAGCAGCAGCAUUGGAAGGUACAUGGGAGGCAGGGCCUUUACGGUACUCUACAGUCGGUCGUUUCCAGGAAAGGAAGACGCUUUUCAUUUAUCCAACCAAUAUGUAUUGAGCACUAUUUUGUGUUGGGCACUGUUCUGAACUGUGCAGAUUCAACAGUAAGCAAUAUUCCGUCCCUUAGGCCACCAUGAUUGAUUCAAGGAGAGGCUCGUGACCCAAGGUGGGCUGAUGAGCAUCAUGCCAGCUCCUGGCAAAGCAUCUCUCUCUUUCCGGGAUAGCAGGCACUAAGAACUGUUGGAGCCUGGAGCUGUCCGAGGGCAUCUUUGCCACCAGUCGAAGGGAGCCUGGCCAAAGAAUAAAAUGAGCAGGGAAAAGAAGACCCAAGAGAUGGAGACAGAAAGUGACUGUAUCAUGAGGACACCAAGCCCCUGGAUACAACCAUGCCUGAAGCUUAAACUACAUUCAGACUUUGCGGUUUGUAUGAGCCGAUAUAUUCCUUUUCCUGCUGAAGCCACUUCUGGUGGAGUUUGCACAACUUACAGCUAAAACAGUUCCAACAAAUCCAAGGUUGGAGAGAGAAAGUAGUUAUUUCUCCUAGCAAACUGUGGUGUCCUUCAGGUAAAGAACUUGGUGUUAGUCACCUUCCCAUCCCUCAGUGCACUGUCACUUAGAUGUAAGAAUUUAAGAAGUGCUUGUGAAUGUAAGGACACUGAAGGAAAUGGUAAAGAACUCGGUAAAGAAUGCAAUCGCGGCAGAGAUACACGCGGAAGGGACAGCCGGGCCACCACAAGAGGCUUUUGUGCCGCCAAGGAUAUAUUUCCAGGAAAAUAAAACCAAGUGGAGUCCUGA